AUAGUAUCUGAAGAGAGCUGCUGCACCAACGAAUUCUUGCUAUUGCUACCACACGAUAUCCGGUUCACCAUCAAAGCUGUGUUACCAUAUUAAACUCCGGUCCUGA
Neltuma alba is the source of this 106-nucleotide long non-coding RNA. RefSeq lists it as uncharacterized. The record is from RefSeq and is a predicted model, not a curated record. Lineage: Eukaryota; Viridiplantae; Streptophyta; Magnoliopsida; Fabales; Fabaceae. The transcript has 3 exons.